RNAcentral lists this ribosomal RNA (666 nucleotides) under uncultured Geobacillus sp. RNAcentral's name for it is "bacterial SSU rRNA". It matches the Rfam family "Bacterial small subunit ribosomal RNA", at positions 28 to 674 of the family's 1533-position model. Lineage: Bacteria; Bacillati; Bacillota; Bacilli; Caryophanales; Anoxybacillaceae. The record is from RNAcentral.
GACGAACGCGGCGGCGUGCCUAAUACAUGCAAGUCGAGCGGACCAAAUCGGAGCUUGCUCUGGUUUGGUCAGCGGCGGACGGGUGAGUAACACGUGGGCAACCUGCCCGCAAGACCGGGAUAACUCCGGGAAACCGGAGCUAAUACCGGAUAACACCGAAGACCGCAUGGUCUUUGGUUGAAAGGCGGCCUUUGGCUGUCACUUGCGGAUGGGCCCGCGGCGCAUUAGCUAGUUGGUGAGGUAACGGCUCACCAAGGCGACGAUGCGUAGCCGGCCUGAGAGGGUGACCGGCCACACUGGGACUGAGACACGGCCCAGACUCCUACGGGAGGCAGCAGUAGGGAAUCUUCCGCAAUGGGCGAAAGCCUGACGGAGCGACGCCGCGUGAGCGAAGAAGGCCUUCGGGUCGUAAAGCUCUGUUGUGAGGGACGAAGGAGCGCCGUUCGAAGAGGGCGGCGCGGUGACGGUACCUCACGAGGAAGCCCCGGCUAACUACGUGCCAGCAGCCGCGGUAAUACGUAGGGGGCGAGCGUUGUCCGGAAUUAUUGGGCGUAAAGCGCGCGCAGGCGGUCCCUUAAGUCUGAUGUGAAAGCCCACGGCUCAACCGUGGAGGGUCAUUGGAAACUGGGGGACUUGAGGGCAGGAGAGGAGAGCGGAAUUCCACGU